AUUACCGCGGCUGCUGGCACGAAGUUAGCCGGUGCUUAUUCUUCCGGUACCGUCAGAACACCGAAGUAUUAAUCCAGUGCUUUUCUUUCCGGACAAAAGGGCUUUACAACCCGAAGGCCUUCUUCACCCACGCGGCAUGGCUGGAUCAGGCUUGCGCCCAUUGUCCAAAAUUCCCCACUGCUGCCUCCCGUAGG
RNAcentral lists this ribosomal RNA (194 nucleotides) under uncultured bacterium. RNAcentral's name for it is "partial 16S ribosomal RNA". The record is from RNAcentral.